CCUACGGGUGGCAGCAGUGGGGAAUUUUGGACAAUGGGCGCAAGCCUGAUCCAGCUAUUCCGCGUGUGGGAUGACGGCCCUCGGGUUGUAAACCACUUUAGUAGAGAACGAAAAGGAGCUAUCGAAUAAAUAGCUCUGCUGACGGUACUCUAAGAAUAAGCACCGGCUAACUACGUGCCAGCAGCCGCGGUAAUACGUAGGGUGCGAGCGUUAAUCGGAAUUACUGGGCGUAAAGGGUGCGCAGGCGGUCUGUUAAGUCAGCGGUCAAAGCCCGGGGCUCAACCCCGGCCCGCCGUUGAAACUGGCAGUCUCGAGUUGGAGAGAAGUAUGCGGAAUGCGCGGUGUAGCGGUGAAAUGCAUAGAUAUCGCGCAGAACUCCGAUUGCGAAGGCAGCAUGCCGGCUCCACACUGACGCUGAGGCACGAAAGCGUGGGUAUCGAACAGGAUUAGAUACCCCAGUAGUC
This 464-nucleotide ribosomal RNA is filed under the name uncultured bacterium. Its description in RNAcentral is "partial 16S ribosomal RNA". It matches the Rfam family "Bacterial small subunit ribosomal RNA", at positions 338 to 795 of the family's 1533-position model. The record is from RNAcentral.